Molecule: ribosomal RNA, 429 nt
Filed under: Chloroflexota bacterium
Lineage: Bacteria; Bacillati; Chloroflexota
Description: Chloroflexi bacterium partial 16S ribosomal RNA
Rfam family: Bacterial small subunit ribosomal RNA
Source: RNAcentral
UGGGGAAUAUUGCACAAUGGGCGCAAGCCUGAUGCAGCCAUGCCGCGUGUAUGAAGAAGGCCUUCGGGUUGUAAAGUACUUUCAGCGGGGAGGAAGGGAGUAAAGUUAAUACCUUUGCUCAUUGACGUUACCCGCAGAAGAAGCACCGGCUAACUCCGUGCCAGCAGCCGCGGUAAUACGGAGGGUGCAAGCGUUAAUCGGAAUUACUGGGCGUAAAGCGCACGCAGGCGGUUUGUUAAGUCAGAUAUGAAAUCCCCGGGCUCAACCUGGGAACUGCAUCUGAUACUGGCAAGCUUGAGUCUCGUAGAGGGGGGUAGAAUUCCAGGUGUAGCGGUGAAAUGCGUAGAGAUCUGGAGGAAUACCGGUGGCGAAGGCGGCCCCCUGGACGAAGACUGACGCUCAGGUGCGAAAGCGUGGGGAGCAAACAGG